GACGAACGCUGGCGGCGUGCUUAACACAUGCAAGUCGAACGGAAAGGCCCUGCUUGCAGGGUACUCGAGUGGCGAACGGGUGAGUAACACGUGGGUGAUCUGCCCUGCACUUCGGGAUAAGCCUGGGAAACUGGGUCUAAUACCGGAUAGGAGCCAUUUUUAGUGUGAUGGUUGGAAAGUUUUUUUCGGUGUAGGAUGAGCUCGCGGCCUAUCAGCUUGUUGGUGGGGUAAUGGCCUACCAAGGCGGCGACGGGUAGCCGGCCUGAGAGGGUGGACGGCCAAAUUGGGAUGGAGAAAGGGCCAAAACCCCGAGGGGAGGAAGAAGGGGGGAAAAUUGAAAAAGGGGGGAAAGCCUGAGGAGGGGAGCCCGGGGGGGGGAUGAAGGCCUUCGGGUUGAAAACUCUUUUCGCUAGGGAAGAAGCUUUUUGGGAGGGUAAUUAGAAAAAAAGCACCGGCUAAAUAGGU
This 465-nucleotide ribosomal RNA is filed under the name uncultured bacterium. Its description in RNAcentral is "partial 16S ribosomal RNA". It matches the Rfam family "Bacterial small subunit ribosomal RNA", at positions 28 to 506 of the family's 1533-position model. The record is from RNAcentral.